AAAAAAGAGAGAGAAAGACAAAAUGAAAACAGUUGUUCCUUUUUUUCCUUUUUCUCUCACACACAUAUAUUCUUUUUCUUACUUUCCUUUUUCUUCUUCCGAAUGCACUUCAUCAU
RNAcentral lists this non-coding RNA (116 nucleotides) under Fragilariopsis kerguelensis. Lineage: Eukaryota; Bacillariophyta; Bacillariophyceae; Bacillariales; Bacillariaceae. The record is from RNAcentral.